This 1501-nucleotide ribosomal RNA is filed under the name uncultured bacterium. RNAcentral describes it as "bacterial SSU rRNA". It matches the Rfam family "Bacterial small subunit ribosomal RNA". The record is from RNAcentral.
GAAUUCGCCCUUGAGUUUGAUCCUGGCUCACUUUGAACGCUAGCGACAGGCUUAACACAUGCAAGUCGAGGGGCAGCACGGGUAGCAAUACCGGGUGGCGACCGGCGCACGGGUGAGUAACGCGUAUGCAACUUGCCUAUCAGAGGGGGAUAACCCGGCGAAAGUCGGACUAAUACCGCAUGAAGCAGGGGCCCCGCAUGGGGAUAUUUGCUAAAGAUUCAUCGCUGAUAGAUAGGCAUGCGUUCCAUUAGGCAGUUGGCGGGGUAACGGCCCACCAAACCGACGAUGGAUAGGGGUUCUGAGAGGAAGGUCCCCCACAUUGGUACUGAGACACGGACCAAACUCCUACGGGAGGCAGCAGUGAGGAAUAUUGGUCAAUGGGCGUAAGCCUGAACCAGCCAAGUCGCGUGAGGGAUGAAGGUUCUAUGGAUCGUAAACCUCUUUUAUAAGGGAAUAAAGUGCGGGACGUGUCCCGUUUUGUAUGUACCUUAUGAAUAAGGAUCGGCUAACUCCGUGCCAGCAGCCGCGGUAAUACGGAGGAUCCGAGCGUUAUCCGGAUUUAUUGGGUUUAAGGGUGCGUAGGCGGCCUUUUAAGUCAGCGGUGAAAGUCUGUGGCUCAACCAUAGAAUUGCCGUUGAAACUGGGGGGCUUGAGUAUGUUUGAGGCAGGCGGAAUGCGUGGUGUAGCGGUGAAAUGCUUAGAUAUCACGCAGAACCCCGAUUGCGAAGGCAGCCUGCCAAGCCAUGACUGACGCUGAUGCACGAAAGCGUGGGGAUCAAACAGGAUUAGAUACCCUGGUAGUCCACGCAGUAAACGAUGAUCACUAGCUGUUUGCGAUACACUGUAAGCGGCACAGCGAAAGCGUUAAGUGAUCCACCUGGGGAGUACGCCGGCAACGGUGAAACUCAAAGGAAUUGACGGGGGCCCGCACAAGCGGAGGAACAUGUGGUUUAAUUCGAUGAUACGCGAGGAACCUUACCCGGGUUUGAACGCAUUUCGACCGCUCUGGAAACAGAGCCUCUAGCAAUAGCGAUUUGCGAGGUGCUGCAUGGUUGUCGUCAGCUCGUGCCGUGAGGUGUCGGCUUAAGUGCCAUAACGAGCGCAACCCUUGCCACUAGUUACUAACAGGUAAAGCUGAGGACUCUGGUGGGACUGCCAGCGUAAGCUGCGAGGAAGGCGGGGAUGACGUCAAAUCAGCACGGCCCUUACAUCCGGGGCGACACACGUGUUACAAUGGCGUGGACAAAGGGAAGCCACCUGGCGACAGGGAGCGAAUCCCCAAACCACGUCUCAGUUCGGAUCGGAGUCUGCAACCCGACUCCGUGAAGCUGGAUUCGCUAGUAAUCGCGCAUCAGCCAUGGCGCGGUGGAUACGUUCCCGGGCCUUGUACACACCGCCCGUCAAGCCAUGGGAGCCGGGGGUACCUGAAGUCCGUAACCGCGAGGAUCGGCCUAGGGUAAAACUGGUGACUGGGGCUAAGUCGUAACAAGGUAGCCGUAAG